This 448-nucleotide ribosomal RNA is filed under the name uncultured bacterium. RNAcentral describes it as "SSU rRNA". It matches the Rfam family "Bacterial small subunit ribosomal RNA", at positions 26 to 518 of the family's 1533-position model. The record is from RNAcentral.
AGAUUGAACGCUGGCGGCAUGCCUAACACAUGCAAGUCGAGCGGGCGUAGCAAUACGUCAGCGGCAGACGGGUGAGUAACGCGUGGGAACAUACCUUUUGGUUCGGAACAACACAGGGAAACUUGUGCUAAUACCGGAUAAGCCCUUACGGGGAAAGAUUUAUCGCCGAAAGAUUGGCCCGCGUCUGAUUAGCUAGUUGGUGAGGUAACGGCUCACCAAGGCGACGAUCAGUAGCUGGUCUGAGAGGAUGAUCAGCCACACUGGGACUGAGACACGGCCCAGACUCCUACGGGAGGCAGCAGUGGGGAAUAUUGGACAAUGGGCGCAAGCCUGAUCCAGCCAUGCCGCGUGGGUGAUGAAGGCCCUAGGGGUUGUAAAGCCCGUUUCGGCGGGGAAGAUAAUGACGGUACCGCAGAAGAAGCCCGGCUAACUUCGCGCCAGCAGCCGC